AGCCUGCGCUUCCCUUAGGGCAGAGAAGG
Molecule: non-coding RNA, 29 nt
Filed under: Cricetulus griseus (Chinese hamster)
Lineage: Eukaryota; Metazoa; Chordata; Mammalia; Rodentia; Cricetidae
Source: RNAcentral